GUCAGGUGGCGCAGAUUUCAAAGAUGGUUGCGCUCAAGCCGUGAAAAGUUGCAGCGCAGAGACUACGCUCAUGCUAGUUCCUUGUUAAACGGUUACGCUUGAGUGUUGAUGUUGAUCGAUGAUUGAAAGUAUUUACACAAUUCUGCACAACACAAGUCGCUCACUCUUCUAAAAUGGGUGAUCAAGAGAGAGACGUUGACUGUACAAACGCAGCCCGUGGCGUAUGGCUCGUAAAGGUGCCGAAAUACAUCGCUUCUAGAUGGAGCAAAGCGCCACCCAUGUCGGAGGCUGGGCGACUGAGAAUCGCGAAGGGAGUGAAUGGCAAAUCGGAUAUACGGUUUACACUGAGUGAUGAAUGUGUCAACAUGAAAGACCCAGCUGACAAGUCAGCCAUACCAAAAGAACACCGUUUUGUCAUCUCCAACAUAGCCAACCAGAACUUAGCCGUUUUCUCACAAAACAAAGUGGUAGAAGACGGUACAGAGCAUUCCUCUCGUAAGGUUUACCUGGAAGGCCAUGUUGUGCAGAAAGGUGAAUGCAGGCCCCUGGGAGAUGACCGCUACAUGCAACUGAAGAGGCAAACUAUCCUGAAGGCUAGCCAACCUGUGCGUCAAGUGAAGCAGCUAGAUCGAAUUGUGCAGAACUACAAGCCAGUGGCCGACCACAAGCACAAUCUGGAAUUUGAACAGAAGAAGAAAGCAGAGGGAAAGAAGGCACGUGAGGACAAAGAUAAAGUGCUGGACAUGCUUUUCUCAGCCUUUGAGAAACACCAGUAUUACAAUAUCAAGGACUUGGAGAAAAUCACACGGCAGCCAGUGCCCUACCUGAAGGAGAUCCUUAAGGAAAUCUGCAAUUACAAUGCCAAGAAUCCUCACAAGAAUAUGUGGGAGCUCAAGCCAGAGUACCGUCAUUACAAGGAUCAGGAGGCCAAGCAGUGAUUGCUUGAAACACAGGGCUACAAGAGGCUCGUGGUCACUUUGAUAGUUUGGAACACCUGGCAUUCUUGUACCACAUACUGGAAGCAUGGUACACAAAUGUUCUUGCAUUGUGUCCCCAUCAGCACGUGACUUUUGUAGCUGAGGAACAAAUCUCCUUUGAAAAUGAACAACAUAGCCACUGAGUGACCACAACGGGGGAAUUGAAUGAGAUUUAUACACAACGGACAAGUGCAGACAUUGUGAUGCUAGAGCCACCCUGGAGCAUAUCCUAUGGGAAUGUAUGGCUGUGAUACAGGACAACAGUGAUGCAGCCUCAAACAGCGACAGCCUCUGUGCGUGCUGGGAGUUUGCGUUGCUCACUUCAGACUUGCAGCACCAACUCUGAGCCGUCCAGCAAGCCGAGGAAGCCGCCAAGGGCCAACAACCCUUGGCCGAAACCUAGGUGGGGUCCAGGCCCACCCUACCAAAUUGCAGGGCACUCAAUAAAGUUACUUGAAUGAAUGAACCUGCAACGUUUUCCUAGCAAUCAGCCCUUUCACAUUACUCUAAGGCUCACAAAUCCUUCAGCACCUUUUUUCACAACAUCACAUCUUUUUUUAGCAACCAUUUGUUUAGAAUUUAUAGAAAGCUACAUACACAAGCACAAUUCUUUCUAGAAAACUUUUGUUUGCAAUCGCGCUUUAAGGUUGUUGAAAAGCUAUUCAUAUUUUUUUAUCACAACUAGUGAUCUUAUGCUUAAACCGAUCCUCUGUCUCUAAUAGCUAUGUUGCACUAGUCAGUACAGGAGUGCUAUAUAAUUAUACCAAAAUAAAUAUUCCUUCUGUAAAUGUGUGUCUGUGCUUGAAAAUCAGACAUUAUUCAAUACUAAUUCAAAAACAUUUAUAUUCUAGUUUAUCAAAAAGUGGUGCUACAAGUUUUUCUACACAAUAAGAAAAUGUCCGUCAUCUGUAGAUGACACUACCACAAACAUGCAUGCCAAAUACUAUUUCGGUGCAUGCGGAGGGAGCCUAUAUGCUGCAGGAUGUUCUACAGCAAAUGGGGAAGUGGCGGCUGCUAAUGCAUCCUACUGAUUCUGUUGCCACUUCUUUUUUGCUCUCUGUGAGAUGCAAGCUUGAAGUGUAACUAUAGGUGCACCGUGGAAAAAAGUAAGGAAACACCAAUAGGCAAGACAUCUUUAUAUCCCCAUUAUUAUUGGGCCCUUUUCAAAAAUAUUUGCAGCAGUAGUAUAUUCACUGAAACACAUCGUACUUACUAGUGUCUUCCGUU
This is an RNA transcript of Dermacentor andersoni, 2204 nucleotides long. It is a transcript of the gene named transcription factor TFIIFbeta, with no coding region annotated. Lineage: Eukaryota; Metazoa; Arthropoda; Arachnida; Ixodida; Ixodidae. The record is from RefSeq and is a predicted model, not a curated record.